ACAUGUUUUCAACAUACAAAAAUGCAGAGUUACACACACAUACAGUACAAAACACUGUCUUUAAGUCAUUAAUUAAAAUCUAGGCCUUCCAUUAAAAGUAUUGAUAUCACAAUUGCACCAAGUUACGAGAAACAAUAUUGGCUAUCUUACCUCACACAAAUGAAACAAGCUGUAUUCCAAAGCAACAGGAUUCCUGUUAAUGAAUAUUAUAUCCUAAUUCAAUAAUUCAUCUAUCCUUUCUAAUUGAGCAACAUUUUGACUGCCCUUGUUUACAGAGUAGAAGGGUGCCUUUGCAGUGUGUUGUUCAGUGAAUCACUUCUCAUUACAUUCGGGCAACGCCCCCUUUUUGAAGGCUGUGCUCAAAUCUUGUUAUAGGAUCCACAUAGGGAGUACAAAAUUGCAUCAACUGUCAGUUGAGACGUUGUGACCUGGUUACAGUUUAGGUGGCAGUGUAGUAUAAUCUGGUCUUCUAACCUCAAGGUCACAGUUUCGGUUCCUGGUUGUGGCACUGCCGUUGUACCCUUGAGCAAGGUACUCCAGCUGUAUAAAUGGAUACAAUGUAAAAGACUGUUUGUAACUUUAGCUGUACAAUUUUAGCUGUACAAUUACUUGAAUAAAGUGAAGCUACUCCUGGGAGAGUGUUACGUUCGUGUGUGAGAUGCGUGCGUGCAUUUUCCUCCCCUCUUUCGUUCUGUUCUCUCUGUUGCUUUCAAUUUCCAGUCCAUGCGCCGCCCAUCAUCAUUCCCAUUCGUCAUCCCCGCUGCCAACCAUCAUCAUUCUAUCUACUCAACCCCCUGCCCUGCCAAUCAGCUCCCUUCUGCAAUCAUGUCUUCUCCAAUCAUCCCUCAGCUCUCCAUUUGAAAAACCCCCAUUCUGUUCCGGCUGAAAGAGUGUUUUUUUGUCUAAAAUCUGUCCUCCCUGUUUCACUUCAGAGACCAGUGAUAGGUAAAAUACGGGGGCCCCUAUACACGUGCUUACACGUAGGGUGAGUUCUCUGUCUACGCAUAUUAGUUUAGUGGUAGUGUUGCUCCCUGUAUUUAUGACCGCUGGUCAUAGUUAGGUUAGUUAAAUAGGUUUUGUUUUCUGUAUCAUUUAGUUCGUUAUAUUAUAAAUUCGUAGUUAGGGUAUUUUGUUUGUUAUUUUCGGCACCACUCCUUUUAUUUUUGACUGGUCUUGGUUGUGUGUCUCUGGCGUGUUUUUGUGUUUGAAAACUUGUGUAAAUACUGUAAAAUAGGCCUACUUGUAAAUAAUCCUACCUCUAUCGCAGUAAACACCCCAUUCACUGUA
Long non-coding RNA from Anguilla rostrata (American eel), 1287 nucleotides. RefSeq lists it as uncharacterized. The record is from RefSeq and is a predicted model, not a curated record. The transcript has 2 exons. NCBI's taxonomy places the organism in Eukaryota, Metazoa, Chordata, Actinopteri, Anguilliformes, Anguillidae.